Molecule: ribosomal RNA, 431 nt
Filed under: uncultured bacterium
Lineage: Bacteria
Description: partial 16S ribosomal RNA
Rfam family: Bacterial small subunit ribosomal RNA
Source: RNAcentral
AACGAACGCUGGCGGCAGGCCUAACACAUGCAAGUCGAGCGCCCCGCAAGGGGAGCGGCGGACGGGUGAGUAACGCGUGGGAAUAUGCCCUUUGCUACGGAAUAGUCUCGGGAAACUGGGGGUAAUACCGUAUACGCCCUUUGGGGGAAAGAUUUAUCGGCGAAGGAUUAGCCCGCGUUGGAUUAGGUAGUUGGUGUGGUAAUGGCCUACCAAGCCGACGAUCCAUAGCUGGUUUGAGAGGAUGAUCAGCCACACUGGGACUGAGACACGGCCCAGACUCCUACGGGAGGCAGCAGUGGGGAAUCUUAGACAAUGGGGGCAACCCUGAUCUAGCCAUGCCGCGUGAGUGAUGAAGGCCUUAGGGUUGUAAAGCUCUUUCAGCUGGGAAGAUAAUGACGGUACCAGCAGAAGAAGCCCCGGCUAACUCCGUG